This 28-nucleotide small RNA is filed under the name Bombyx mori (domestic silkworm). RNAcentral describes it as "ovarian small RNA-9246". The record is from RNAcentral. Lineage: Eukaryota; Metazoa; Arthropoda; Insecta; Lepidoptera; Bombycidae.
UGUUUGAUUGCCAGAUAGUUUGCCAACA